CGCAAAAUAAUGCUAAAUUAAAAUAUAAAUAAAGCUAAGAAAAUUUUUUUUUAGUGAAAUACAAUAACAGGACAAAACCCGAGUAAUAAAUAUAACUAGUGUGACUCAAACCCAGACCACAGUUGGGACGAUAAACACCCUAACCAGGCAUUACAUGGGGUUCAAAGCCGAGAAAUUCUUCCUAAUUUUAUUUUAAAAAACCAAUAUAUAGUGGCUUGAGACACAUUUAUUCAUGUGAAUUGAAGCAAGGACAUUAUUUAAUUACAAUUACUCUCUGUAAUUUACUCCAAUCUACAAUCUUAUACUACCUUCAUCUUCUUCUCCUAAUAAUUCAGGUUGCUAUUCCAACAGCCUUUGUAAACUUACUCCAAGGGUCGACAUGUUCAUUCUCGUUUCCAUCCGCAGAACAAACGAGACAUGAUCAAAUGCCUUACCCAUGUCGGGUUUAUUUUUAUCUUGCCUGUUUUUCAGUAGUGAUGUUGCAGCAUGCAAAUUCCGGCAUUAACUUCGCGUUCCUUCAAGUUGAGGAUGGACAACUGAGAUGCUUCCAUGAGAGUUUUGAGUUACUCAAAUUCAUAUCGGAGAUUUCCUUCUCCUUCCAUGAUUCUAAGGAACACAACAUUAUGAUUACAAGUUUUAAAACUGCAAUGCAAAAAGGAAAAGUACUAAUACCAAAAUCAAAACAAAAGCAAACUUAUAUAACCCGAAUUUUGGUAACUUUGAGAAAUAAAACUGACUGAAUACCGUAUCUAGCUAUACUGUAAGUUCAAUUAAUUAAGAAAAUUUCAUUGAAUAUUAACCAUGUCGAUCAAAAGCAUGUCCACAACGUGGAAACAUUAAAGAAGAUCAAAUUCUCGAGGUGAGUAAUUUACCUGAGGAAUGCCUGUUACUCAGAGCAUAAAAAAUGAGAGGAGGCGGCGAAUACGAAUAUAAAACUAAACAAGAACAGAAGCAAAUGUAAGUUUACAAACUUACACCAUCAUGUAGUUUCCACUAUUUCUCCAAGGUCUUAUGCAAACAUAGUAGCCUCCGAAUCAUAACAUGGAAUUUUCAUUUUCAGCUUUACCCCUUUGAAUGUGUCAGAAUACAAAUAAGUAUGAUUGGCCAGAAGGGGAAGAUGAAAGUAAUGAACACCUACCACAUUUAUGCAUAGAAAGACCUAAAAUGACGAUAAAGUUUUCGUAGAAGAAUUGGGAUUCACCUAGAAUUUCUCAAGUUAAUAGACUAUCAAUUUCUACUGUAUAUCCCUAUUCUUAACCCUUCUUCAAACAUAAAAGACCUCAAAUCCCACUUUUUACUUUUAGUCUUAAAUCAACUCAAGCUAUGCAAGAUUAGAAUAUAAUCAACUGACUACGAGAUUGUCUUAAUCACUAUCCGUAUUACCCAUUCUUUUAUGAUUUUAAAUCUAGUGUGCAAGAGACUGAAAAACAAUAAUCACUAAUCAAAUGUAGGAAUUAUUGACUAAAAUGCAAAGGAUUCACUCCAUGCACUAAAAUAUGGUUUUCAAAAGCUUAGACAGAAACAUAAAUGCAGCCACAAGAAAUAUCAUUUCGCCAUCAACUAAGAGCAAAAGUUACCAACUAUAGUGAGGGAUUCUAUCAUUGGUAGUUUUACUCUUAAGGGAACUUUUCCGAAUCCCUCUCUAGCUUUCACAACUUAAAAUUUUCCAAGUCCGAGGUAGGAGACAGGAAAUGUAUAAAAUUAAAAAUAAGAUGUAUUUCAUCUCAUUCUAGCCUUCUCACAUAUUGAAACUAAGAUACACUAGCAAAUUUCAAUCAUAUUUGAUUAUAAAAUAUAUAAUAUCUCACCCUUUUACAAGACAAAUUUUCAAUUUCUUGAAUACAUAACCUACUCUCCCUAAAUUUAAAAGUUGAAUCAUUAAGAUAUUCAUGAAUAUUUAAAUGAAAACUUCAAGAUCUGCCCCAAUAUAAAGGGGCAUAUACUCAUUAGUAUAUAUGCAUAUAACCAUAUAUCUAUACAAAUAGGUCAAGUUCAAGACAAAGUCACAUAGCAUGGUCAUCAAUAUCAAUGUGUUCGUGUUCGCUUGUUUCAAAAUCAUGAUAUUAUAUGCUAUAUAAAAUGUUGCAAACAAAGUAUAUGCCGUCAUUCAAACUCAAGGAUAUCAUAUACCAUACGUAAUUCAGGGAUGUGACCUUAACCGUUAUGGGUUGCUAACCAUUUACGCACUAAUUGCUGUGGAUCUUAGUGACUGAAAAAAGUUGAAACCAGCAUAGGGAAAUUACUUCUUUCCCUACAUUUAAGACUAAUCUCUAAACUAAUAUCACAUAAAAUUUGAAAGAAGAAACAAGCUUGAAGGAAAUUGAAAAUGGUUACCUAGAUGACAUAACCAGUUUAAUGGCAAACAAGGUGCAGUAUGCAAAAAAUUGCACUUACCACAAAUUUAAGAGACUAAUAUUAUACCAGAUACCAUAAAGAAGAUCUUCCAGGAAAAAAGCAAACAAUGUAUAAAAAUCGAACAUAAUCCGCUGAGUGAAUCUAUAUACUAACCUGCAUUUGGAAAUUUCCUGCUGCCAUACAUAUAGUCAAUGAUGGAAAAGAAAAAAGUGCAGAUUUAUACAGAAAAAUAAGAAAAACGGUGACAUUCCUUUAGCUAAAACAUCAGCAGAUCCAAACCCUUGACAAUCCCAAAUAUAGUUAGAAAGAUUCAGCUGAGAAACUAUCAUAUUUUACUCUAAGCAAACAAGACAAGCAGAAAGAAAACAAGCAAAAAAAAAAAACCCAAAAAAUCAGAGCCAGAUUUAC
RNAcentral lists this long non-coding RNA (2763 nucleotides) under Gossypium raimondii (Peruvian cotton). RNAcentral describes it as "long non-coding RNA (GRAI_LNC010974)". Lineage: Eukaryota; Viridiplantae; Streptophyta; Magnoliopsida; Malvales; Malvaceae. The record is from RNAcentral.